CCAGUCAACUUUGGUUAUGCUAUUGGAUGGUUCAUGGGCUCGCGUUGCUGGAUGAAACUCUUGACGAAGACCUCGAGAACGAUAUUGUAGACUUAUUGUCUUGAUGCCGGGACAAACAUGGUGGAUAUGGUGGUGGACCUGGGCAGUUUUGCUCUAACCUCAAACUCUUCUUAAUUCCCCACAUUUAGCUUCGAGAACGGCGUCGCCGGGGAGGACGGGAGCGGCUCGACCAAUGGCCACCGCAAUGCUCUUCUGCCCGCUGCUUGCCUCGCCACCCGGGCGCAAAAUAGACCUGACAAGACGUCUGUAUGUACUGCAGUU
Long non-coding RNA from Triticum dicoccoides, 321 nucleotides. RefSeq lists it as uncharacterized. The record is from RefSeq and is a predicted model, not a curated record. The transcript has 3 exons. Lineage: Eukaryota; Viridiplantae; Streptophyta; Magnoliopsida; Poales; Poaceae.